ACGGCUCAGUAACACGUGGAUAACCUGCCCUUGGGUCCGGCAUAACCCCGGGAAACUGGGGAUAAUUCCGGAUAACGCACAUAUGCUGGAAUGCUUUAUGGGUAAAAUGGAUUCGUCUGCCCAAGGAUGGGUCUGCGGCCUAUCAGGUAGUAGUGGGUGUAAUGUACCUACUAGCCAACAACGGGUACGGGUUGUGAGAGCAAGAGCCCGGAGAUGGAUUCUGAGACAUGAAUCCAGGCCCUACGGGGCGCAGCAGGCGCGAAAACUUUACAAUGCGGGAAACCGUGAUAAGGGGACACCGAGUGCCAGCAUCAUAUGCUGGCUGUCCGGGUGUGUAAAAUACACCUGUCAGCAAGGGCCGGGCAAGACCGGUGCCAGCCGCCGCGGUAACACCGGCGGCCCGAGUGGUGAUCGUGAUUAUUGGGUCUAAAGGGUCCGUAGCCGGUUUGGUCAGUCCUCCGGGAAAUCUGACGGCUCAACCGUUAGGCUUUCGGGGGAUACUGCCAGGCUUGGAACCGGGAGAGGUAAGAGGUACUACAGGGGUAGGAGUGAAAUCUUGUAAUCCCUGUGGGACCACCUGUGGCGAAGGCGUCUUACCAGAACGGGUUCGACGGUGAGGGACGAAAGCUGGGGGCACGAACCGGAUUAGAUACCCGGGUAGUCCCAGCCGUAAACGAUGCUCGCUAGGUGUCAGGCAUGGCGCGACCGUGUCUGGUGCCGCAGGGAAGCCGUGAAGCGAGCCACCUGGGAAGUACGGCCGCAAGGCUGAAACUUAAAGGAAUUGGCGGGGGAGCAC
Molecule: ribosomal RNA, 796 nt
Filed under: uncultured archaeon
Lineage: Archaea
Description: bacterial SSU rRNA
Rfam family: Archaeal small subunit ribosomal RNA
Source: RNAcentral